CCGACCGAAUUGCCUCUAAAGUAUCGAGAAUUGAAAAAUGCCUCGCCAUUCAAUACCCAAUUUGAAUAGCUAAGGAGUGAAUCUCAUUAGCGUCAAUGAGC
This is a long non-coding RNA of Etheostoma cragini (Arkansas darter), 101 nucleotides long. RefSeq lists it as uncharacterized. The transcript has 3 exons. NCBI's taxonomy places the organism in Eukaryota, Metazoa, Chordata, Actinopteri, Perciformes, Percidae. The record is from RefSeq and is a predicted model, not a curated record.